GUGGACUGAAUCGUUACAGAUUCUGACGGCACCCAUUCACUGCAGAGGAUCCACUGGGGAGUAAUUGAUUAUGCAUCCUGUCCCUGACCCCCAAGCACUGACAUUAGGUUCUAAUCUCCUCCUCCUGUCAGACGAGCCGUGAAGAUCUGAUGAGAUCAGGCGUUGCGUGGUACUGGAUCAAGCUUCACAGUCUCCCGAGGGAUUCCCAUCAUCUCAGAUCUUCCAUUCCACAGUGUAAUCGGUCACUUGAAAAAUCAGGCACUGGAGAAAGUAAUGUGAAUCAUUGGCCCCUGAAGAUAUACCUGAGAGCAGUACGGGGAGUUUGAGAUGCUCAAGUCUGUGUCAGCGGUCUAUUUGGCGAAAGUCCUUCAGCACUUGAGAUGUCAAUGUUUAUAGAUGAGGCCAACCGAAUUAUAGCAGCAGUUGAAGAAUGAUUGAAAACCUUGUCAGUUGUCUCCGUUAACUGAAAUAUGUCACA
Molecule: long non-coding RNA, 478 nt
Organism: Onychostoma macrolepis
Lineage: Eukaryota; Metazoa; Chordata; Actinopteri; Cypriniformes; Cyprinidae
Exons: 5
Source: RefSeq, a predicted model, not a curated record